This 351-nucleotide long non-coding RNA is filed under the name Lathyrus oleraceus (garden pea). RNAcentral describes it as "Pisum sativum (pea) long non-coding RNA (PSAT_LNC016773)". Lineage: Eukaryota; Viridiplantae; Streptophyta; Magnoliopsida; Fabales; Fabaceae. The record is from RNAcentral.
GGAUAUCCAGUAGUUGUUCAUCCGUGGGUUCAAAGUCGAGUUGUGAAUGUGUUGGUUAUGUGAAGGUGUUAGGUUGUGUUUGUUGAAUUGAAGGUAGAAGUGACUUGAGAGAAUAGUAUUAAAUGUUUGGUGUUGGGAUAUGGGGUUUAAGUUAUCAAAGUUUGGUUGAGGAAUUAGAGUGUAUCGUAUGGGUGGACAUAAGUUGGUUUGUUGUUGAUAUUGUUGGUUGUAGUAGCAGUUUUGUUUGAGGGAAUGGAGUAUGGGGAUUUUGGUGUUGGGAUGAGGUGGCAUAAAGGUGCGUUAUUGUAUGGUCUGAGUGUGAUGGUAUGUUUGCUGGGCAGAUGAAGAUGG